CUGGCUUCGCGGCCGGCUGAAAUAUUUUGUUCACCCAUGUCUUUUGCGCACUUGUUGUUUCCUGGGCGGGUUCGCCCGCCACCAGGACGGAACCAUAAACCUUUUUUUUAUGCAGUUACCAUGGCAGCGUCAGUAAAAACAAUGUAAUUAAUUACAACUUUCAACAACGGAUCUCUUGGUUCUGGCAUCGAUGAAGAACGCAGCGAAAGGCGAUACGUAGUGUGAAUUGCAGAAUUCAGUGAAUCAUCGAAUCUUUGAACGCACAUUGCGCCCUUUGGUAUUCCAAAGGGCAUGCCUGUUCGAGCGUCAUUUGUACCUUCAAGCUUUGCUUGGUGUUGGGCGUGGUUGUCUCCCUCUUUCUGGGAGACUCGCCUUAAAACGAUUGGCAGCCGGCCUACUGGUUUCGGAGCGCAGCACAUAGGUUGCGCUUUGUAUCAGGAGAAAAGGACGGUAAUCCAUCAAGACUCUACAUUUUUCACUUUUGACCUCGGAUCAGGUAGGGAUACCCGCUGGACUUAAGCAUAUCAAUAAGCGGAGG
RNAcentral lists this ribosomal RNA (538 nucleotides) under Bipolaris zeicola. RNAcentral describes it as "eukaryotic LSU rRNA". The stretch from base 156 to 309 matches the Rfam family "5.8S ribosomal RNA". The record is from RNAcentral. Lineage: Eukaryota; Fungi; Ascomycota; Dothideomycetes; Pleosporales; Pleosporaceae.